GGAAUGUGGCUUAGUGGUAGAGUGCUUGCCUAACAUGCAUGAAGCCCUGGGUUCAAUUCCUCAGUACCA
RNAcentral lists this transfer RNA (69 nucleotides) under Dipodomys ordii (Ord's kangaroo rat). It matches the Rfam family "tRNA". Rfam says of the family: Transfer RNA (tRNA) molecules are approximately 80 nucleotides in length. Their secondary structure includes four short double-helical elements and three loops (D, anti-codon, and T loops). Further hydrogen bonds mediate the characteristic L-shaped molecular structure. tRNAs have two regions of fundamental functional importance: the anti-codon, which is responsible for specific mRNA codon recognition, and the 3' end, to which the tRNAs corresponding amino acid is attached (by aminoacyl-tRNA synthetases). tRNAs cope with the degeneracy of the genetic code in two manners: having more than one tRNA (with a specific anti-codon) for a particular amino acid; and 'wobble' base-pairing, i.e. permitting non-standard base-pairing at the 3rd anti-codon position. Lineage: Eukaryota; Metazoa; Chordata; Mammalia; Rodentia; Heteromyidae. The record is from Rfam by way of RNAcentral.